RNAcentral lists this ribosomal RNA (913 nucleotides) under Penicillium commune. RNAcentral's name for it is "LSU rRNA". It matches the Rfam family "Eukaryotic large subunit ribosomal RNA", at positions 35 to 966 of the family's 3401-position model. The record is from RNAcentral. Lineage: Eukaryota; Fungi; Ascomycota; Eurotiomycetes; Eurotiales; Aspergillaceae.
UAAGCAUAUCAAUAAGCGGAGGAAAAGAAACCAACAGGGAUUGCCCCAGUAACGGCGAGUGAAGCGGCAAGAGCUCAAAUUUGAAAGCUGGCUCCUUCGGGGUCCGCAUUGUAAUUUGCAGAGGAUGCUUCGGGAGCGGUCCCCAUCUAAGUGCCCUGGAACGGGACGUCAUAGAGGGUGAGAAUCCCGUAUGGGAUGGGGUGUCCGCGCCCGUGUGAAGCUCCUUCGACGAGUCGAGUUGUUUGGGAAUGCAGCUCUAAAUGGGUGGUAAAUUUCAUCUAAAGCUAAAUAUUGGCCGGAGACCGAUAGCGCACAAGUAGAGUGAUCGAAAGAUGAAAAGCACUUUGAAAAGAGAGUUAAAAAGCACGUGAAAUUGUUGAAAGGGAAGCGCUUGCGACCAGACUCGCUCGCGGGGUUCAGCCGGCAUUCGUGCCGGUGUAUUUCCCCGCGGGCGGGCCAGCGUCGGUUUGGGCGGUCGGUCAAAGGCCCUCGGAAGGUAACGCCCCUAGGGGCGUCUUAUAGCCGAGGGUGCAAUGCGACCUGCCUAGACCGAGGAACGCGCUUCGGCUCGGACGCUGGCAUAAUGGUCGUAAGCGACCCGUCUUGAAACACGGACCAAGGAGUCUAACAUCUACGCGAGUGUUCGGGUGUCAAACCCGUGCGCGAAGUGAAAGCGAACGGAGGUGGGAACCCUUACGGGUGCACCAUCGACCGAUCCUGAAGUCUUCGGAUGGAUUUGAGUAAGAGCGUAGCUGUUGGGACCCGAAAGAUGGUGAACUAUGCCUGAAUAGGGCGAAGCCAGAGGAAACUCUGGUGGAGGCUCGUAGCGGUUCUGACGUGCAAAUCGAUCUUCGAAUUUGGGUAUAGGGGCGAAAGACUAAUCGAACCAUCUGGUAGCUGGUUCCUGCCGAAG